RNAcentral lists this long non-coding RNA (418 nucleotides) under Elaeis guineensis (African oil palm). RNAcentral describes it as "long non-coding RNA (EGUI_LNC007495)". The record is from RNAcentral. Lineage: Eukaryota; Viridiplantae; Streptophyta; Magnoliopsida; Arecales; Arecaceae.
AAAAAAAAAGAAAAAAAGAAAAAAAAAAGGAAAUCACAAUUCGGUAACUUGACCGGGCAUCCAUCUCAGAUCUUCCUCUCUCACACCAUGGACCGCCUCACUUGGAAGGCCAAGAGCUGUGGUGCUUUUCCAACUUCCACCUUUUAUAAAUUCUUGAGUCUUAAAGGUAUCACAUACUGCUUUGUGCUAACCCUUUGUAGCCUCAACAUUCCCCUCAAACUUAAAUUUUUUCUUUGGCUCGCUUAGAGGAAAAGGCUUAACAUGAGGGGCUUGCUUGGAAAGAAAUUUGGUAAGAAUCUUAAGCUUUGUGCAAACUGUGGACAAGCUUCUAAAGAGUAAUUCUUUGUGCACUGCAUGCAGUACAAUAUUAUUGUACCGUUCAAUAAUAUUUGGGUACGUAGCGCAUUCAGAUGGGAUA